CCUACGUGAGGCUGCAGUGGGGAAUAUUGGACAAUGGGCGAAAGCCUGAUCCAGCCAUGCCGCGUGUGUGAAGAAGGCCUUCGGGUUGUAAAGCACUUUCAGUGGGGAAGAAAGCCUUGGGGCUAAUACCCUCGAGGAAGGACAUCACCCACAGAAGAAGCACCGGCUAACUCCGUGCCAGCAGCCGCGGUAAUACGGAGGGUGCGAGCGUUAAUCGGAAUUACUGGGCGUAAAGCGCGCGUAGGCGGUCUGAUAAGCCGGUUGUGAAAGCCCCGGGCUCAACCUGGGAACGGCAUCCGGAACUGUCAGGCUAGAGUGCAGGAGAGGAAGGUAGAAUUCCCGGUGUAGCGGUGAAAUGCGUAGAGAUCGGGAGGAAUACCAGUGGCGAAGGCGGCCUUCUGGACUGACACUGACGCUGAGGUGCGAAAGCGUGGGUAGCAAACAGGAUUAGAUACCCCUGUAGUC
RNAcentral lists this ribosomal RNA (465 nucleotides) under Vreelandella stevensii. RNAcentral's name for it is "partial 16S ribosomal RNA". It matches the Rfam family "Bacterial small subunit ribosomal RNA", at positions 338 to 795 of the family's 1533-position model. Lineage: Bacteria; Pseudomonadati; Pseudomonadota; Gammaproteobacteria; Oceanospirillales; Halomonadaceae. The record is from RNAcentral.